This 253-nucleotide ribosomal RNA is filed under the name uncultured bacterium. RNAcentral's name for it is "partial 16S ribosomal RNA". It matches the Rfam family "Bacterial small subunit ribosomal RNA", at positions 524 to 776 of the family's 1533-position model. The record is from RNAcentral.
UACGGAGGGGGCAAGCGUUAUUCGGAAUUACUGGGCGUAAAGCGUGCGCAGGCGGUUCGUUAAGUCAGAUGUGAAAGCCCCGGGCUCAACCUGGGAACUGCAUUUGAAACUGGCGGGCUUGAGUGUGGCAGAGGGGGGUGGAAUUCCGCGUGUAGCAGUGAAAUGCGUAGAGAUGCGGAGGAACACCGAUGGCGAAGGCAGCCCCCUGGGCCAACACUGACGCUCAGGCACGAAAGCGUGGGGAGCAAACAGG